Molecule: ribosomal RNA, 253 nt
Filed under: uncultured bacterium
Lineage: Bacteria
Description: partial 16S ribosomal RNA
Rfam family: Bacterial small subunit ribosomal RNA
Source: RNAcentral
UACGGGGGGGGCAAGCGUUGUUCGGAAUUACUGGGCGUAAAGGGCUCGUAGGCGGCCAACUAAGUCAGACGUGAAAUCCCUCGGCUUAACCGGGGAACUGCGUCUGAUACUGGAUGGCUAGAGGUUGGGAGAGGGAUGCGGAAUUCCAGGUGUAGCGGUGAAAUGCGUAGAUAUCUGGAGGAACACCGGUGGCGAAGGCGGCUCUCUGGACCAGCACUGACACUGAGGCACGAAAGCGUGGGGAGCAAACAGG